Molecule: ribosomal RNA, 494 nt
Filed under: uncultured bacterium
Lineage: Bacteria
Description: partial 16S ribosomal RNA
Rfam family: Bacterial small subunit ribosomal RNA
Source: RNAcentral
AUUGAACGCUGGCGGCAUGCCUUACACAUGCAAGUCGAACGGUAGAGGGGCAACCCUUGAGAGUGGCGCACGGGUGAGUAGCGUAACGGAACAUGCCCGAUCGUGGGGGAUAACGUAGCGAAAGUUACGCUAAUACCGCAUACGAUCUGAGGAUGAAAGCGGGGGACCGAAGGGCCUCGCGAGAUCGGAGUGGCCGAUAUCAGAUUAGGUAGUGGGUGGGGUAAAGGCCUACCAAGCCGACGAUCUGUAGCUGGUCUGAGAGGACGACCAGCCACACUGGGACUGAGACACGUCCCAGACUCCUACGGGAGGCAGCAGUGGGGAAUUUUGGACAAUGGGCGCAAGCAUGAUCCAGCAAUGCCGCGUGCAGGACGAAGGCCUUCGGGUUGUAAACUGCUUUUGUACGGAGCGAAAAGGUCUUCUCUAAUACAGGGGGCUGAUGACGGUGCCGUAAGAAUAAGCACCGGCUAACUACGUGCCAGCCGCCGCCGUAA